RNAcentral lists this long non-coding RNA (263 nucleotides) under Ananas comosus (pineapple). RNAcentral's name for it is "long non-coding RNA (ACOM_LNC022559)". Lineage: Eukaryota; Viridiplantae; Streptophyta; Magnoliopsida; Poales; Bromeliaceae. The record is from RNAcentral.
UNUCUUAUCUUUUCGUCAGCUUUUUCUUUAAUAUUUCGUUAAAUUAUAUACAAAAAAAACUUCAGAUAUCCAUCUAGAUUUAUCAAAUAUUUAAUUUAGUACUCUUUAAUUUUAACUUUAUCACUGAUUUAAUAAAAAAAAUUAGUGAAAUCAACAAUAAAAAUAUAAAAAUAAAAUCAUAGAAUAUUAAAUUAAUACACUUUAAAUCCUAUAGUAUUAAAAAAAAGAAAAUAUAAAACUACUUGGGAAGUAUUUGAGAUUUU